ACAUAUAUAUAUAUAUAGAGUUAUGUAUAUAUCGAAUUAUUUAUCACUGUUGCUGGUUUGUGUUUUGUUUAGUUGCCUAGUUGUCUACUGUGCGCCCUGAACUGCAGCCUCUCCAGAUUCCGUUUCGAAAACAUCGUCGGAUUCCUGGCCAACGUAGUCAAUAUCCUCAUCGCCGUGCUCCUCAUCGUUUUCAUCGUAGUCAUCGGGAUAUUCACCAUACUCGGAGGAUUCACCAAGCGUCCAGGCGUCGUUUUCCACGGAGUUUCGAGGACUGUAGCUGUUGCCUCCGCUCGUGAUGGUCAUAUUGUUGGCUGGGCGCAGCACACUGUGUGUAUGGAGAACUUAAGUUAAUAUUUCAAUCAAAUAGAGCGGUUAGGAUUAUUUUGAAUAAAUGCACAAUUCGGAAUGC
Molecule: non-coding RNA, 409 nt
Organism: Drosophila melanogaster (fruit fly)
Lineage: Eukaryota; Metazoa; Arthropoda; Insecta; Diptera; Drosophilidae
Source: Ensembl